GAUGAACGCUGGCGGCGUGCCUAAUACAUGCAAGUCGAGCGAACAGACGAGGAGCUUGCUCCUCUGACGUUAGCGGCGGACGGGUGAGUAACACGUGGAUAACCUACCUAUAAGACUGGGAUAACUUCGGGAAACCGGAGCUAAUACCGGAUAAUAUAUUGAACCGCAUGGUUCAAUAGUGAAAGACGGUUUUGCUGUCACUUAUAGAUGGAUCCGCGCCGCAUUAGCUAGUUGGUAAGGUAACGGCUUACCAAGGCGACGAUGCGUAGCCGACCUGAGAGGGUGAUCGGCCACACUGGAACUGAGACACGGUCCAGACUCCUACGGGAGGCAGCAGUAGGGAAUCUUCCGCAAUGGGCGAAAGCCUGACGGGGCAACGCCGCGUGAUUGAUGAAGGUCUUCGGAUCGUAAAACUCUGUUAUUAGGGAAGAACAAAUGUGUAAGUAACUAUGCACGUCUUGACGGUACCUAAUCAGAAAGCCACGGCUAACUACGUG
RNAcentral lists this ribosomal RNA (497 nucleotides) under uncultured bacterium. RNAcentral describes it as "partial 16S ribosomal RNA". It matches the Rfam family "Bacterial small subunit ribosomal RNA", at positions 28 to 507 of the family's 1533-position model. The record is from RNAcentral.